GGGGGAAAAAUUAAUAAAAUAAAAUUAAUAAAAAAAUUUUUAAGUUAAAAAUAAAUAAUGGGGGUUAAAGUAUUUUUAAUGGAAAAAAUUUAAAAUUUUAUAGGGAAUUAAGUAUUGUGAGAAAAAUUUGAAAUAAUUUAAAUUAAUUAAUUAUAAAGAAAAUUUAAUUUAUUGUAUCUUGUGUAUCAGAGUUUAUUAAAUAUAUUUUUUAAAUAAAAAAAUCUCGAAUUUAAAAGAGUUAAUUGAUUAUAAAAGUUAAUGUAGCAUAAUUAUUUUAAAUAAUUAAUUAGAAAUGAAAUGUUAAUCGUUUUUAAAUAUAUCUAGUUAUUUUAGAAAAAAAUUUAAUUUAAAAUUUAUAUAAUUUUAUAUUUUAAUAAAAAAAAAAUAAAAAUUUAAAUUUAAUAUAUUAGGGGAUAAGCUUUAAAUUAAAAAUUUAUAAUAAAAUUAAAUUAAAAUUAAAAUUUUUAAAAUUUAUAUUGUCUAAAAAUUAUAAUUUAUUAUAAAAAAUUUUAAUAAAAAUAAAAUUUAAUAAAUAAAAUUUAAAUUUAUAUAAAAUAAUAAUUUAAAAUAAAAAAAAAUUAGAAAUAAUGAUAAAAUUAGUAUAAAAAUAAAAUAAAAAUAUAAAUAAAUAAUUAAAAAAAAAAUAAAGGAAUUCGGCAAAUAUAUGUAUUCACUUGCUUAUCAAAAACAUGUCUUUUUGUCAAUAAUUUAAAGUCUAAUCUGCCCACUGAUGAAUAUUAAAGGGCUGCAGUAUUAUGACUGUACAAAGGUAGCAUAAUCAUUAGUUUUUUAAUUGGAAACUUGUAUGAAAGAUUUAAUGAAAUAUAAACUGUCUCUUAAUUUUUAUUAAAACUUUAUUUUUUAGUAAAAAAGCUAAAGUAAUUUUAAAAGACGAGAAGACCCUAUAGAGUUUUAUAUUCAAUUUUAUUUUAAAAUCAUAUAAAAUUUAAUAUUGAAAUAAAAUAAAAUAUUAUAUUGGGGGGAUAGAAAAAUUAAAUUAACUUUUUUUAAAAAUUAACAUAAAUGAAUGAUUAAAUGAUCCAUUAAUAAUGAUUACAAGAAAAAAUUACCUUAGGGAUAACAGCGUAAUAUUUUUUUUUAGUUCAAAUAAAAAGAAAAGUUUGCGACCUCGAUGUUGGAUUAAGAUAAAAUUUAGACGCAAAAGUUUAAAAUUUUGAUCUGUUCGAUCAUUAAAAUCUUACAUGAUCUGAGUUCAAACCGGUGUAAGCCAGGUUGGUUUCUAUCUUUAGAAAAAUAAAAUAUUUUA
This 1267-nucleotide ribosomal RNA is filed under the name Erebia wanga. Its description in RNAcentral is "partial 16S ribosomal RNA". The stretch from base 1077 to 1235 matches the Rfam family "Archaeal large subunit ribosomal RNA", at positions 2544 to 2703 of the family's 2987-position model. Lineage: Eukaryota; Metazoa; Arthropoda; Insecta; Lepidoptera; Nymphalidae. The record is from RNAcentral.